AAGUGUUGACUGUUUUAUAUUAAUAGGACUAUGUGUUAUUUUUUUCGUUAAAUAUUGAAACAACUAGGGGACUUUUGUCCCGAAUAUGCAGUUUGUCAGAGGUCAUUCAGUGUAACGGGAUCAGGAAACCAUUUUGAAAUUAAAUAAACAAACAAUACUCAUCAAGCAGUCUGUGACAUCAUCAAAAGACCCCCUGAAGACCAUGUGGUGAUUCAGCAAGAUGCCCACAAACAAAGAGAAAGUUUCUAGGCACUGGCAGAAAGUUAAUGCAGACCCAGUAGCUAGGGCAAUGCAUUUAGCAAGGAGACGAGAAAGCAACCAGAGAAGAAAGCAAGCUGCCUUGGCUGCAAAUCCUGAUCACCCGUCAAUCAGGAAUUUAUCAGAUGCUGCAGCUGAGAAGAGGCGAAAGCAAUGGCGGGAAAAUCAAAGAAAACACAGGGCAGAAGCUAAACGUAUAAGGGCAGUUCUGGAUCUUAUUAUACAGUAUUACCACCUGUUCAGUUAAUUUUUACGAAUAUGAUAUGCAUUAUGGAAUAAAAAUGAUUAUUAAUUUCA
Misgurnus anguillicaudatus (oriental weatherfish) is the source of this 555-nucleotide long non-coding RNA. RefSeq lists it as uncharacterized. The record is from RefSeq and is a predicted model, not a curated record. NCBI's taxonomy places the organism in Eukaryota, Metazoa, Chordata, Actinopteri, Cypriniformes, Cobitidae.